RNAcentral lists this ribosomal RNA (391 nucleotides) under uncultured bacterium. RNAcentral describes it as "bacterial SSU rRNA". It matches the Rfam family "Bacterial small subunit ribosomal RNA", at positions 28 to 396 of the family's 1533-position model. The record is from RNAcentral.
GAUGAACGCUGGCGGCGUGCCUAACACAUGCAAGUCGAACGAAGACAUACCGACGGAAUCCUUCGGGAGGAAGAUGGUAUGGACUGAGUGGCGGACGGGUGAGUAACGCGUGGGUAACCUGCCCUGUACAGGGGGACAACAGUUAGAAAUGACUGCUAAUACCGCAUAAGCGCACAGUACCGCAUGGUACAGUGCGAAAAACUCCGGUGGUACAGGAUGGGCCCGCGUCUGAUUAGCUAGUUGGCGGGGUAAACGGCCCACCAAGGCGACGAUCAGUAGCCGGACUGAGAGGUUGACCGGCCACAUUGGGACUGAGAUACGGCCCAGACUCCUACGGGAGGCAGGCAGUGGGGAAUAUUGGGGCAAUGGGCGCAAGCCUGACCCAGCAACG